CAGCCAUUCAUUUAAAGAGUGCGUAACAGCUCACUAGUCGAGCGAUCCGGCAUGGAUAAUAAUCGGGCAUAAACAUACUACCGAAGCUAUGGACUUGUAAAAGUGGUAGGGGAGCAUUGUAGUGUCGUCGAAGGUGUACUGCGAGGUAUGCUGGAGAAGCUACAAAAGAAAAUGUAGGCAUAAGUAACGAUAAUGCGGGCGAGAAACCCGCACGCCGAAAGACCAAGGUUUCCCCGGCCAUGCUAAUCAGCCGGGGGUCAGUCGGGACCUAACACGAACCCGGAAGGGGCAGUGGAUGGACAACGGGUUAAUAUUCCCGUACCCGCAAUGCGACAAAAGUGACGGGGCGCCAUAGUUGGUGCGUGCUGACGGAAUAGCACGUUGAAGCGUAAGCGAUAGUACGACAAGGCCACGGCCGCGUCGAUAAUCCAGCGGAGGCGCCUCCAAGAAAAGCGAGCAUUGCGGCCCGUACCGUAAACCGACACAGGUGGUCGGGAUGAGAAUUCUAAGGCGCUCGAGAGAUUCAUGGUUAAGGAACUAGGCAAAAUGGACGCGUAACUUCGGGAGAAGCGUCGCCUGUAGUAAUACAGGCCGCAGUGAAAAGAUCCAAGCGACUGUUUAUCAAAAACACAGGGCUCUGCGAAGCCGCAAGGCGACGUAUAGGGUCUGACGCCUGCCCGGUGCCUGAAGGUUAAAAGGAGGGGUGCAAGCUCCGAAUUGAAGCCCAGGUAAACGGCGGCCGUAACAAUAACGGUCCUAAGG
Molecule: ribosomal RNA, 762 nt
Filed under: Striatella unipunctata
Lineage: Eukaryota; Bacillariophyta; Striatellaphyceae; Striatellales; Striatellaceae
Description: partial Bacterial large subunit ribosomal RNA
Rfam family: Bacterial large subunit ribosomal RNA
Source: RNAcentral